Molecule: long non-coding RNA, 1953 nt
Organism: Homo sapiens (human)
Lineage: Eukaryota; Metazoa; Chordata; Mammalia; Primates; Hominidae
Gene: MEG8
Product: maternally expressed 8, small nucleolar RNA host gene
Source: Ensembl
AGAGUCAAUCUUGGACCUAUGAUGAUGACUGGUGGCGUAUGAGUCAUUGACGGUGAAUACAGGUCUGGAAGUCUGAGGUCCAAUAUAAUAAAAAAUCUAGUCUUCACCUUCUAUCCUAGGGAUAGACAUUAGGAAUAUUUGAGGAUGUUGUUCUUGGUCUUCACGUUCAUGCAUUUUCCCUCUAUUUUUAUAAUUGGAUCAAUGAAUCAAUAAGCAAAUAUAUUUUAACUGCAUAAAGAUAAAAAUAGGCGUUGUCCAAUUAUGGAAAUAUAUGGUGAAAUAAGAAAUACUAUUCACAUUUAUUAAAAACACUGAGGUCUUCUUUCUAUUAACAAAUAAAUGACUCAGAGGUAUUACUCGCUUGCUGCAGGAUGGCAUAUACAGUAAAAAUAAUAAUAACGUAUGUGAGGUCAUUUGGGUCAGGACCAUGUUCAUGGUUGUUUGUUUUCUCAAGAAAAAAUAGUUUCACACAUACUUACAUGACUAAUAGAAUGAAAGGAGAAAUGUGUGGAUAAAUGGACAGAAUAUUUCCAUCUUUUUAUCUUUUUUGCUUUGUACUCUCACAAUGAACACCCUCAAGUUGACUUAAGCACCCUUCCAUGGUCAUGAGGUUUCUGGUUGCCUCUGUGUGUUAGAAGCUUGGAGACCAAUGCCUUCUGCUGUGAUCGCGUUCUCCACAGUUGCCUCUGGGUAGGAGCCUGGACACUAAUAGAAAAUGGAUGCACUUGAGCCGACCUAAGCAUUCAUGGUCAUGAGAUUUGUGGUUGCCACUGUUGGUUAGGAGCAUAGAGAUCAGUAAUGGACACACCUGGGCUGGCAGAACAUCUUGCCUUGAUCUGGAGCCCCAUGUCUGCCCCUCUGUAGAGGUGCACAUGGGCCAAUGAUGGAUGCAAUGAGCUGAUCAUUUUGCUGUGAUCAAGGCUAUGUUGCCUCUGUGUUAGGCCAAUGUGAGUAAUGGUUCUUGUCUUGGUUUAGGUUGUUUAAUGGUAUUCCUGAUAUUAUUAAAAAUUAUUUAAUAUAAUAAAAAGUUAAUUGGCUUAAUGACAAUGUGCAACAUUGAGGUUAAUUAAUGAAAGAGAUGUAGUCUCUGUGGGAAAUUAUUGUAUAGACAAAUGUAAGGAUUCUUCAAAUAUCUUGUUCUUGGGUUUUCAAAAUCAUGUAUUCAUUUUAUUAUCAAAGAAGAAAUGAUUUAUUCAAUAAAUAUUUAGAAAUGAAUGAUGAAAGAGAGACCCAACUAUGAAUCAAUGGUGACCACUGGUGGCAUAUAAGUCAUGGAUGAUGAAUAUGAGAAGAAAAGAAUCUAGGUUUUUGCUUCUGUUGGAAAUGAUCCUGUAGACAAUGUCAGAAACAUACAAAGAUCAUUUUCUUAUCUUGGGGUCAUAGAUUUAGGUUUAUUAUUACUAAUAUAUGAAUGAUAGAACCAUUAAACAAAUAUAAACAGAUUACAAGUAGAGAUUUAAGCUACAGUGUCCAGCUAUGAAUAUAGGAGAUGAGAUAAAUUAUUACUAAAAAUAGGAGAUACUGAUUCCUCUUAUCAAAGAAAUGGAUCACAGUGUUUCCUCUUUGACUAAGGAUUAUAUAGAAUCUAACAAGUAAGAGUCAGUUUUAUUUUCUUGGUCAGAGAUUGUUUCUUCUGUUAAGAGAGAAAGACACCUAUAAUAUGAAAAAUUAGUAAAUACCCAAAUCACUGAAUAAAUGCUAUGCAGAAAGGCAGGAUCAACAGAGAUUAGGUCUCAAUGUUUUUAGUCUGCUCUGUACUCCUCAGAAUGGACAGACCCGGGCUGAUUUUGGUGUUCUGUGGCUAUGAGAUCAGUGGUUGCCUCCAUGUGUUAGGAACAUGGAGACUGACGUAAUAGUCAAACUUCUUGUCUCAGUUUCAGUGUUCUUCUGAAGGGUAUGCAGUAAGUGCAAAAUGUAAUCAGUGACUGCCAACCAUUACCCAAAUGUAAAAAA